CUACGGGGCGCUCCAGUGAGGAAUAUUGCACAAUGGAGGAAACUCUGAUGCAGCAACGCCGCGUGGAGGAUGACGCAUUUCGGUGUGUAAACUCCUUUUAUAUGUCAAGAAAAUGACGGUAGCAUAUGAAUAAGCACCGGCUAACUCCGUGCCAGCAGCCGCGGUAAUACGGAGGGUGCAAGCGUUACUCGGAAUCACUGGGCGUAAAGGACGCGUAGGCGGGAUAUCAAGUCAGGUGUGAAAUCCUACAGCUUAACUGUAGAACUGCACUUGAAACUGGUAACCUAGAGUAUGGGAGGGGGAGAUGGAAUUAGUGGUGUAGGGGUAAAAUCCGUAGAUAUCACUAGGAAUACCUAAAGCGAAGGCGAUCUCCUGGAACAUAACUGACGCUAGGGCGUGAAAGCGUGGGGAGCAAACAGGAUUAGAUACCCGAGUAGUC
This 439-nucleotide ribosomal RNA is filed under the name uncultured bacterium. Its description in RNAcentral is "partial 16S ribosomal RNA". It matches the Rfam family "Bacterial small subunit ribosomal RNA", at positions 339 to 795 of the family's 1533-position model. The record is from RNAcentral.